CAUACAGCUCAGUAACACGUGGCUAACCUGCCCUUGGGACGGGAAUACCCCCGGGAAACUGGGGCUAAUUCUCGAUAGGCGAAGAACUCUGGAAUGAGUCUUCACUUAAAAGAUGCUAGAGUUAUGCUCUUUGGCGACGCCCAAGGAUGGGGCCGCGGCCGAUCAGGUUGUUGGUGAGGUAAUGGCUCACCAAGCCUUUUACCGGUGCGGGCCGUGGGAGCGGGAGCCCGGAGAUGGGCACUGAGACAAGGGCCCAGGUCCUACGGGGCGCAGCAGUCGCGAAAACUUUGCAAUAAGCGAAAGCUUGACAGGGCUAUCCCGAGUGCCAUCCGCUGAGGAAGGCUUUUACCCAGUCUAGAACGCUGGGGGAAUAAGGAGAGGGCAAGUCUGGUGUCAGCCGCCGCGGUAAUACCAGCUCUCCGAGUGGUGUGGAUGUUUAGUGGGCCAAA
This 449-nucleotide ribosomal RNA is filed under the name uncultured archaeon. RNAcentral's name for it is "bacterial SSU rRNA". It matches the Rfam family "Archaeal small subunit ribosomal RNA", at positions 82 to 513 of the family's 1478-position model. The record is from RNAcentral.